Molecule: ribosomal RNA, 355 nt
Filed under: uncultured bacterium
Lineage: Bacteria
Description: bacterial SSU rRNA
Rfam family: Bacterial small subunit ribosomal RNA
Source: RNAcentral
CAGAAGAGACAGGUGGUGCAUGGUUGUCGUCAGCUCGUGUCGUGAGAUGUUGGGUUAAGUCCCGCAACGAGCGCAACCCUUGUCAUUAGUUGCCAUCAUUUAGUUGGGCACUCUAGUGAGACUGCCGGGGAGUAACUCGGAGGAAGGUGGGGAUGACGUCAAAUCAUCAUGCCCCUUAUGUCCUGGGCUACACACGUGCUACAAUGGCUGGUACAAAGAGACGCAAGAUCGCGAGGUGGAGCAAAUCUUCAAAACCAGUCCCAGUUCGGAUUGUAGGCUGAAACUCGCCUGCAUGAAGUCGGAGUUGCUAGUAAUCGUGAAUCAGAAUGUCACGGUGAAUGCGUUCCCGGGUCUU